UAUUAGCUCCACAGUGUAUGUUUUUGUGUGCCUCUAGGUUUUAUAUCAGCAUCCUUUAAUAAAAGAGGGGAAAGUCAAUUGUAGCAAAAGAAGCUACAGAAGUACUGGCUGGGCAUCUGUGUGACUGAACAGUAUGUACCAUUUGAAUGUUGUGGGUGCUGGUUUUCUUCAUAGUUGCCAUUGGUUCUCAAGCUAACUGUGAUUCCUGAAAGAUCAAAGAUUUAGUUUUAACACCCAGUUUGGGAUCUUCCCAGUAAAAGGCAGCAGAUUUACGGUGCACUAAGUCUUACCUGGUUCUGAUGUUCUAUUUAAAGAACUGCAAUGGAAAGGUGGUGUGAUCUAGAUAGGCAAGAAAUGGCUCUAUGUUUUGCAGGGGUUUUGAGGUUUACAGUCAUCUCUGCCAUGGUAUUGCCAGGUGUGAUCAAACAGUCGUACAAAUCUGAAAUCAGUUUUCUACUGGGAAUCCAAACUUUUAGUAAAUCACUGGUGGUCAUUAUUGCCCUUCCACUGAGAGUGUUACUGCUUCUUACUCUGUACCUGUAUUGAGUUUCUCAACUACUGACAUAUUGGUCUCAGGCCUUCAAUAAUUUUGUGUAGGGAUUGACUUUAAAAAAAAAAAAGGGAGAAAAAAAAAAAGUUGUGGGCUUUUCGUGUGUUUGGUGGUUUUUAUCUGCAGUGAUUGGUGCAUUUCAACUAUCCCAGGAAAACUCAGAGUAAAGACAGGACUCUUUGGUGGUUCAUUGAAGUAAACACAAGGGGUCUUGCCCUGAAAAACACAAUUAUGUCCAUAUCAUCAAGAUCAUAUUUGGGCAAAACUAAAAAACCUUGUCUUCAUUGUGGGUUGACUGAAGGUUGACUGGUGCUCAUGAGUUAAGCCAGGGUCAGAAAGCACUCUGUAUUGAGUUUCAAUACCAAACCCCAAACACAGACAGAAGCACUUUUAUGCACAAGGACAUUCUGUCAGAUUCAGUGUGAGCCUAUAAAAUGAUUAUGCUGGGUAUUUUAGGCUUGCUGGUUGGUGAACUAUCUCCAUCUGAAUUGUUAUGAUCUGUGGGAAAAAAAUGGCUUUGUACUUCAGCUCUGAAAUAAGUAGCCAUAUUUUCAACGCUCAGAGCUCUCUUCAGCUACUGUCUGCUGUGUGUCUUUGCUCAGAGAUGACUGUUUCUGUAAAACAGAUUUGCUUUCUGUGUAGAACAGGCCAUAUUGGCUAAUUACACACAUCCUGAUCAAAUUUUAAGAUAUUUGAACAUUGUCUCUGAAGAGCCACCAAAACUGAAGCAUCUUGUCAUCUUGUGAUGACCUUGAACAUAUUUCUAGGGGACACAAGAAACCAGCCAUUGGUACUUGCUACCUGUUUUUAAAUGUUGGUGCAACCACAUCAGAAUUUUAAGCUGAGUUAUCUCAGAGGAGACAACUGCAGUUCAACACAGAGCAUGGACAUAUGCUGGGUGAAGGCACUGACUUCUCCAGACUGUGUUGUAUAAGGUUUGAUCAUCAUUAACAUCUGAUGCAUACAAAUGUUUGGCAGUUUUCGUGCCUUUGUGCUUUAGUCAGAUGGCCUCUGUUAUUCUAUUUGUGCCCACUGUUAACUAAGUAGAGUCUGGUUUAGUCUGCCUUUUUCACUUGGCCUUCUGACACGACCUUGCUUUCUCAUUUCAGUUUCGCUGUUGAAAUUUGGUAUAACUUUGGUGAAGAAACAGUGCCAGGCUGCAGGCAGGGAGAUUUGUUAUGCCACAGCCUAAAGCCUGUGUUCCUGCACCACAUUACUGCAGGGUCUCUCUGUUCUCACCCUCUGGAUGCAGGUGAUUAACACGUGGUCCAGGGAAUUGCACUUCUGCCUGCUCAGUAAUUUGCUGGGCAGCGAUGCAGUCAUCCGGAGCAGCUGCCACUUAAAUGGGCUGUAGAUUGUUCUCUUUUUAUUUUAGUGCCUGCAGAGCUUCACUGUGUGCCACAGCCAGACACAUGUGUUGAUGUUUGCUGCAGCAAAGCAUCUAUUAGCUGCAUCUCACAAUGUGCUGCCUAUGCAGCCAAUUUUCAGGGGAAUCCCUGCAUGCAUGUGAAUGGUUGUUCCCAUCUCCAUCCACAGAUGGGAGGCACAUCAAGGCCAGGGGUGAGGACUAAAAACUUACUAGACCCCCAACAGGUACGAUUAACUGCUUGUGGGAUUUCAACAAUGUCUGUAUAGGAUGGAAAGUCCAAACUUGAGGUAUCUGUCCAAAUGUCACUUCAAAGGUUUUGUAACCCAGCACCAGGUGGCCAUGGUGACACCGGUGUCAUUCUGGAGGAGGGGAAAAGGUUAGGGAGUGAUCCCAGGGUAACUGAGAAGCAAGGCACUCAUGUCCUGGGCUCACAGUGCUGAACUAUCUUCCCUACCGCCAUGCUCCAGGGAGGCACGGAUGUGAUUUUGGCUACCUGCCUUUGCAUAGGCACAUAGUAAAUAAUUAACAUGCACGGCCAGGCCUUUUGGUCAUCAUUUAUUGCUGUAACUGAUGAUUAAUUCAAGGAAUUAUUGAUUCUCAUGCCAAAUCUUUACUCAUUGGUGGUAGAGAAACUAAUAAUCAUUCACAGGGUCAUUAUUGACAGAUCUCAGUAUAGGAGGUGGAUAAAACAUGUGGAAAUGGAAGUGUAUGUCCAUAGGUUUGUUUGUCUCUUCCAUAUCAUGAAGGGAGUGAUUGACAAACUCAAGUCAAAAGUCUGACUUGUACCCACACCAAGGCCCCUCUUGUUGGGUGUUCACAUACUUGGUGGUGCUUUCAGGAGGAGCAGGGCCACCUGGGAUCACCAAACAGCUCUCCAGAGAUGUCUGCUCAGUGUUCACAGGAAGCUCUUUCCUGGACACUGGAGACUCUGGAGACACUGUGCUUUGCACAGUAACACAUUUGGAGUGUGAUUCCCUUAAAUCUCCUGUCCUGUGCUCAUGGUACACAUAAGCUUACCUCCCUGGGCCCUACCCUGAAGCACUUCCUUUCUUUGGCAAUCUCCUAAAUUCUAGUUAAUCUCCUUCCCAUGACUCCAGACCUCAGCUCUUCUCCCCUUUCCACCACAGUGCCCCAGUCAGUGCCUGCUGCCUUGCCAGAAGCUUGCUCAGAAGGGUUUCACACUGGGGCCAAGAAAAAACUCAAUGCUCCCCGAGUAUGUGUGUUAAUGCUUGGGUGUCUCCUCUCAUCUGCUGUUUUUCCCAAAGUUUGACAGAACACCUUGCCUCAGAGACCCUCACUUGAAGUCCAGCAUGGAUGUGUUUGGAUCCAACAGUCAGUGAAGGUCACUGGCAGUGGAAGCCCCAACACCCAUCUCCAUGGCACACAGCCUUGCUUCCUUAAGCAAGGAGACAGAGAAAUAGCAGCCUGCUAGGAAGGCAUAAUUAAGUGUAUCCUGACUGAAAGUUCAGGUGUAUUAGUAAGAACAUGAUGCCCAGCAUGGUCCCUUGCAUGUACUUCCAGAAAAUUAUUACAAAUAUAUUGUGAUAAAUAAUAACAGCAGCCUUCCCUGUGUUUACAAGCUGCUGUUAUUGUACUGUAUAGCCUGAGUCAUUUUCCUUUCCGCUUGUUAGAAACAGAAAAAAUUGAAUUUGAUUAAGAAUUAAAUUAUUUCCUGAUGUUCCUCGUCUUGCAGCAUUACUUCUUAUGUUUGAACAAGGAGGUCAGCCCAGCUUUGCUUAGAACAUUUUCAGUACCUUACCAUAUUAUGUUAUUUGUGUGUCACACACAUAUGAAAUCAGAGUGAGUUAUGUGAGUCUCAUUUCUGUGCUGUGGACACAAAAGCAAGGUUGUUCCCUAUAUUCUGUCUGAUUAGAGAUUUUUCUCUCUGCUGCUUUGCCUCAAUACACAGAAAUCACCUUUUUCCUAGAAAAAAUCAGUAUUUUCUGGUGCCUCAUGCUGUCAGAGAGCCAGCACUCUUCUGAGCACUCUCCCUUCAAAGAUCAAUCAAAUUUUGGGCAGAGAACUCCCUUUCCCACUUGAGACUUUUUUUUCAGCCUGAAAGACUUUGUGGCAUCUGUUUUAGGCUCCUGUGCAACACCUGCUGCUGGUGACAGUGCAGGUCUUUUUCCGCCUCCAGGGAAGAAAGGUGACUUAACAGAAAGGCCAACUUUAUAACAGGCAUUUGAAUUACUUAAAUGUCCUGCCAUAAUGACAAAAAAAAAAUCUAGCCUCUUAAAAAUUAUGCAGAGAAGUCAGUUUUGGUCUUUACUAGAGAGCAGGUUUGUGCAGCAUUUCCACAUCAGUGCAGCUUGUGAGGCUCCAACAGAGAACAGCUUUUCCACUGAAGGCUCUUUCAUUCAUGUUUGGAAAAUUGCUUUGUAGUUUCAUGGCUUCCUUUCUGUUUGGACACACAUCUGGGGUCAUUGGCUGUGCCUUCUGUGCUUGUUCCCUAGCACCUUCUGUGCCUGGUGCUCUGGCUCUGCAUAGGAUGGAGCAAAGAGGGGGAAGUGGCUCUUAACUUACAGGGUCUGUUGAUUGCUGUCACCUUCUCUGGGCUUUGAAAGAACUCAGCUGGAAGAAUGCUUCUAGCACUGAUGUUCCAGUGGAAACAUGAUUAACAGGAAGAAAAGUAGUGACAUUUCCCAGAGGGAAGUAGAUGUGAGAUGAUCCAUGUGGGACAGUUGUUCUGUGCUGCCAGGGAAAAGGUCAUUUUUUCAGUGUAGGUGCAGGUGGCAUCAUACAUGGCCAACUCCACCUGGAAAUCAGCUGUACAGUCCAGAUGUUGAGCUAAACACUGGGAUCACCAUGGUAGGCCAUGGUGAUCCCAGCGGCUUUCCUACAUGGCCAUCAAGUUAUUUUGUAUGUAAAACCAGAGUAUCAUGUAUGGGACUCUGCCCAGAAAAUUCUCUGGAAAAGCACAUUCUGUAAAUGGGGUUGAGUAGGCUUGUUAUUAAACCCUCCCAAUAAGUGCCUACUUAAAAAGGAGGGACAAAUCUCUCCAUAAAUGAGGGAAUUAUUCUUAAUAGUGGCUGUAACCCUGACCUUUCCUACAAGAUCUUGGGGAUCUUGAAACAUUUUUCCAACAAAGAUCAAACUAUUGGCUUUUAUCAGACACAUAAACAGAAGGCUGGAGAGACUGAGGGGUUGGCCUUGCCUCACAGAUUCCUGAUGCAGUACCCGAGUCCCAUUCUGUAGGUGGCAUGUGCCCUCAGGAAUGAGGGAAGGGAGGAGGACCUUGGUGCUUUACCUGAUCCUUACAGCACUGCAUUAGGAUAGGCCCCACUUCUCUGCCUCUCUGCACUGCAGUGGCAUUACACAUGCAUUGCAAUGCAUUACACUGGGAGCUUUCUCCACCAAAACCAGAAGUGUUACAGCAACUAAGAGACCAAGGAUGAAAGAAGGAAACUGUGAGGCAACAAGGAUCAUCAGGCAUGUAAUUUUUCCCAAUACCUCCACUCUUUUCUUUUCAAAGCACAUGUUGAGUGAGGCUGGGGAAGCAAUUGGCAGCACAUUCACAGCAUCUUGGUCCUCUGUGUAUGUGUCUUCUGCAAGGAUCUCAGUCUGGUGUGUGUACUGAAAUUGUGUCAGGAGCUACACAGUUUCUGUCUGGGGAUUUAGCAUUCCUGGUCUGCCAGAAGAUUUAAUUUCCCCUAUCAAGAGCUCUUGGGCACUUUAGAUCUGCUGUAAGGAAGGGGAUAAAAUCAGUAGUAAGGCAGGGCAUCUCUCUGGACAUGAGAGUGCAGAGAACAGCAGUGCUCCUGCUUCCUCUGGUCCUUGCCUGCUCCAAGGCCAGUGCACACCUCAGUGCUCACAUCGGGCUGCCACAAGAGCUGAGAUUCACGGGGUGGUGUCUGAAACACAUUUCCUCUUGUGAAAGUCUGGCAAGUGUACGUGAAAACAUUUCAUCAAGUUAUCAAAUAACAUUUUGUUCUUGUCUCCAUAUGAUGAGCAUAGCUUGGCAGUCCAGGCUCUUACAUACAAGAUUAUACAUGCAGCAGCUCUCAAUGCAUUAUUUUUCUAGCAUUAAGUUAUUCUGCUUCCCCUUGUGCCCAUGUGAAAUUCUGUCAUUUAUGUCCUGUGGUAAGAAGCUGAGUUUAGCUAAGCUGUUUAAAAAGAACCUAUGCUUUGGGUCAGUUUGAACCUGUCAUCUAGCUUUGCCUGCUGUCCCACAUCCCAAAAUACCCAGCACAGUCAACACCAGGCCCCUGGUAACCAGAGAGGUACUGACAAAUCUGGGAAGUUUUUGGAGGAGAGUGACAGAGUUGAUCAGGAGAGGUGGAAGCACAGGUAGAUGAGUUCAGCUAUAAACUGAUGCUGAGCCCAGCUCAGGAAUGACUAACAAAUGUGUGGUUUGUGAGACAUGUAGCGCUCUGAUGAGCACGAACACCCUCCCACUCUCCUGAGCAUGAGAGCAGAAUUCUUGGUGUGACACGCAGGGAUAUAACAAGGGCUAAUGGUGUGACAGUCAGACUGAAAGUAAGGUAAAAUUUCCUGACAGUGAGAUGUAUUUUGCUGUGAAACGGCCUCCCAAGGGAAAGGGCAGGAGCCCAACUGCUUUGUCUUUUUAAAGCCAAACUGGACAAAGCAUUAGGAAAGGUAAUUCAGGGAGCAAGUGUAAAUUGGCUGGAGUGGUGAUCUAACAGAUCCUUUCCAUUUCUAGCUCCUAGGAUAUAAUGCUCUCUGUAAUUAAUUUUUGACCGGUUUUUAGCUUAGAGGGUAACAUGGAGAUGAAACUGAGCAAAAAUAUUAACAAUAAGAACUGAAAAAAUCCAAACCAUAGAGUUUGUCUAGUAGUCAGGGAAAGUGCCAGAUUGAGAGUUCCUUAGGUUAAUGGCACUAUUCAAAAAUAGCUUUGCAAAUGGGAAAGUGAAAAUUGUUACAUAGGUAAUUAUUAUAGUAAUGACAUAUUUUUAAAGAGUCCUGGUAGUCCCAAGUAUCCAAGAGCACAUCUCAGAUUUAGGGGUGUGCACGCAUUAUUCAUGUAAUGGGAAACUGCUGUAGCUGACACUGAAAUGCAGCAACCACUGUUUUAAUGGCAGCAGUCUAAGAUGGGGUAUAAAGUAUGACUUCUGUAACUGAAACUGUAGAAGAAUUGUCUUGGUUUCUCAGAAUUUCUUUGACUGAUUAGUUAUAUAGGCAGGAGUUUCUUUUGCAACUGCUUUUCCCCAUAUUUUUGCUUUUAAAGCAGCAGGAUCUGGCAAUAUUGACCAGGCUUUCCUGGUUCCUUUUGGGUGGGCAGGGAGAGUCUGCCAAACUAGCAUGACCCUGAGCUGAGACACACUGGACUGGCCUCCUUAUGCAGGUUUAUCUCCCUCUUGAGAGUCCUGACUUCAGCCUCUAAAUUCCUGGAGAACAAGGGCAAUCUAGUUUACUUUAGUAAAGACAAGAAGGGAGCCCUUUUGUAAAAAUAUGAAAAUGCAAAAUAGUAUGGUUUUUGUGUGAAACCAGAACAGGCAGAUUGGAAAAGCUGAAUAAUAUAUUAUUAACUGGUUUAAAUAUUGUAAUUUUAAACUGAAGUGUGUGGGUUUUCAUUCACAUAGGGAACAACUUUUUUUUUUAUUUUGUUGUUUAUUUUUAAUAAGCAGUCACAAAUCUGAAAGAAAGUGGCUAAAAUACAGAUGUUCUGCAUUGUUUAUCAUUCAUGAAAUUAGACUUUCUUAGGCAACAGCCUUGAGGAGUCAGUUGAAAGAGGAAGGAAAUGAGCCAGGCAAGAACUUGCAUGUUGAACAUGUCAUCCUUCUGGAGCCACAUGCUCACCGUGGAACUGACUCACAUGGCAUUAAAAAUUGUUUGUUCUCAUUUACAUGAUCUGCAAGACUGUGUUUAAUGUAAUAUGUGUUAGCUGCACAAUUAGUCAAAUGCUAUCCAUUUGUUAAUGAUGGGGGAAAGCAUUCCUCUGUAAAAUGCUAUUGACUACUGAGUAGCUCAGGUGCUACACAGUUUGACUACCUCUGUAUUUUAGAUAGAUUUACCAAUAUCUAAGGAUUUUUUUCAACAGUUACUACAUAUUUAGUUCUUUUGUCUGUUAGCUAGUCAUGCAAAAAUCAGUAAAAAUUUUCCUAUAUUAUAUUAUUCAUAGGGGCUCUUUGGAGCUUGAGUUCUCACUUAUUUAUUAGAAAUUUUAGUGUUUAAUCAAAGAAUCCCGUAACUUCUGGCCUGAGAUAAAAUCCUGCCACUCUUCUGCUUCCAAAAUAACAGAGCCAAAAAAAUAUUUAUUUAUAAACAACUGAUGUGAUAGUCUUCAGCUUACAGCUACUGUAAACCUUCAUGAUCUGGGUUUCCCAGGGCUUGGAGGUUCUUAGUGUUAUAGCAGCUGAAAAAAUUAUAGCACCAGCAGCUUCCAUCAUUUGAGAUGCCAAAAUUGCAACAUUCUUCUGAAGCGGCUCCUUUUUUUUUUUUUUUCCCGAACCUUCUUAUGUAAAUUUUUUCUCUCUAAAACCUUUCAACUAGUCCCACGUCUUAGACUGUAGAUUAGUGUUCGGCUUUCAGUAGGAUGUUUGUUUCUUAACUUCUUUAUUUUAUGAAAGAAUGACUUCUAUUCCUUUUCCAUUUAGGCACCUUAGAAAUCCUACCUUUCUUAGUGAUGCCACAGAAAAUCUCUCAAACCGUGGGUGGUUCAGCUGCCGUUACCUGAUGCAACCCUCAGUCUGGGUACUCUGUCUUGCUUUAGGAAAAGGAUGGCUUCUGGCAAGAGGCUGUGGAUCCCAUGCCUCUGUUUGCUUGUUGGCUGCUGGUAUGAGGAGGCUGGGAAAGGGUGGAAAGGGACGUCAUGCAAGGGAUCUCGCAGAAAAGCCGUGGCAUGAAUGAAUCAGAGAACAUUGCUUCCUACUUAAGUGCUAAAUUCCUCUUAGAUACAGAAGGGAUGUAAUUCCAAAGUCCAGGUACAGAACAGAGGACAGACAGAUGUUGACUGGUCAGGAAAGUAUAAGUACCAUAAUACAUCGUGUGAUUGACUGAAAAGGGAGCUGGGAAUCUCCUUUUUAUUUCCUGCAGGGGCACUGACCUGAGAGACCAUGGAGAAUUCACAUCCCCUCAGUUCUCCAGCCUGAGAAGUGGGAAUGAUAAUGCCAGCUUUUCUUUGCCAUGUCUUUUGAGACUUCCAGAGACCUGAAAAAAACAAGGAAGAAAGCCCCUGUGAGCUGUGGAGUUGAAGAGGUACAUGUUGACAGCUCUUGGAUGGCUGAAGGCCAAAGACAAGUAUUUGUGUGCCAGUAAUAGCACGGGAGGCAGCAGGGCGAUUGCGUGGGGAGCCAGGGCUCGCUUUUCCCCACAGGAAUGGCUUUGCAUUUGGGCUUGUCAGGGAACAUGGCUGCAGCUCCUCUGAGCUUUCACUCCCAAAAUUCUUGGCAAACCGGGGGGUUUCCUACGCAUCAUGUCCAGCUUUGCUGAAAAAUCACCAGCUGGCUGCUCCUGCCUGGGAGGAGGAUGCCCCUCGAGAGGAAGCCUUGUGGUUGCACAGGCUGCACAGGGGUUUUACUCAGCAGGAUGAAGAUUGGCUGCCAGCUGGGUUUAAACUCGUGCCACCCCUCUAGGCUGCUCAGAAGGGCUGAGCUCUGGAUAUCUCUGGGGAGACAGGGCCAUCAUGUGCUCAGACAAGGUCAGCGUCAUCUGCCUGAGUUACAGGAACAAAAGCUUGAGCUCACCCUAAGCGUGCUCAGACUCUCCCUUUCCAGGGGUGAUCUUUUAACAGGGAUUCACACAGAGGAGACACUUGGAGAUACACUCAGAGGACUGAAAGCAAUUUGGAUCUUUGUCCUGUACUUAACUGAUACUGAAAACUUCCCUUCUAAAUGUUGGCAUAGGCCCUCUUGGCUUAGACUAGUGUUUGUCUGACUCCAUGAGAUUCCGUCCCAGCACACCCUGAGUGAAAGACUCCACCAGCUCAUUUAGAAAUUGAGUUUGUUCAUCAGAGUCAUGUCCCAUGCAGAGAGGGAAAAAAUCCCUGCGCUGAUGUGGAUUCCUCUAAUCUAUAUAUUCAUUCAUGGCUGAUGGUUUGGAAAUGAUAGUAUGGAAUAAGAUUAUUAUGGAUCCUGGCAAGGAAUGGAAUUUGUAAAAGCAGAUUUAAUUUUUAAAAUAAUUUUUAAAGUUUUUUUUUAAUUGUAUUGCUUUAUUUUUAUUUUAUUUUGCAAAAGGUAAAUAAUAAUACCCAAGAAUCCCUCAAUCCCCUUCCAGUGUUCUCCUCUCGCUACAUGAAACUGCCAAAUCUGAAUUGGAAAUACGCAAAAAAAAUGUAGGGUUUUUUUAUGAUGCUUGGAAGAAAAUGGAUUUGCAGAGCUUCUCUCUUUAAAUGUGUCAACAUAAAUGACAUCCUAGCAGGUCUUGCAGAUUGCAUGGCAUAGGCAAAUAACUGCUAUUUAUUGCAUGGGCUGUGCAAUUUUUUACCUAGCUAUUUCUGCCACAUGCAGAAUAGAUGAAACAAAUUUUCCUCACACAUUUAUAUAUACAUUUAUACAUUUAUAUAGUGCCUGUCAAGAGUUGCAUGCUGUGGUCUCCGCUAAUGCUUAUUUGUGCCAUGAUUCCUUAUCCAGGAUUUAACCCCUCCCAGAGGAAAACUACAUCCCAUCUGUGAUACCUAUUACAAAACAAGCCAGAUUCUGUGCAGUGUUCUGUCAAACAGGUUACAAAUGGCAUUUUCCUUGCCUUUGGCCUCCCUAGUCUCCUCUGGAAAGGCAAUCUAAGGCAAGUCUAUCACAGAGUUACAGGAGAGACACCUUGCAACUGACUCUUUCAGGUCUCGCAGUCUUUCACCACCAGCUUGUUUCAAAGGAAUAGCAACAUAAAAGAGAAAAGCAUUUAAAAAGAGAAGACAAAUAAGUCAAGGGAGGCUCAACAACAAAAAAUCCAGUUCCUUCUGCAUGGAUAUCAGUAAAAGCUGUGUGUGUAAGCACAUCAGAGUUAAUUUGUUUGAAGCUUUUGAUACUAAGGAAAAAAGUUAAACCAUAUCUCUAUUACUUCUAUCUUGCUAUGUGUAUUUCCAAGCUGCUUGCCCCCCUGGCUUUGGAUGUUCUCUACUAAUAUGUCAGUUACCAAACAUAUUAUGCUCCAACAGUUCCUCUGGAUGGGAAUAUCACUUCUGUUCCUCACAGCUGUCAUUGGAGAGACAACGCAUGCGUCUGAAGGUACCCCUGGAAUUUGCUGAAUCAGACUCCAAGUUUUCUGGUACAGCAACAUUUUACAAUUCUGCUCUCCCUUAAUGUCCUAAAUAUCUCAGUUUUCUGAAACAUGCAAAUUACAUCUGUGAUGCAAACAUUGCGCCUGCGUGUGUCUGUAUGGGAUUUGCUCAGGCAGAGCUUUCACCGCCCGCUUAUUUUUCAGAGUAAAGAAAAAUAAAGGUCUCUGUACUUAGCCUACAAUGACAGUUUUGCAGCAGAAGAACACUGAACAAGAAAAAUGAAGACUGCAGAAGUGGAAGGAGGAAAUGAAAGUUGCUCUACCGACAGGGCGACAUGAAUUCAGCAAUGGGUGGAUUAGUCUGAGUGUUAUCAGUGAUGAUGAAACACAGCAGACUGUGGCUUUGCAGUGCAUUCCAUCAAUGUUGUCUAAGGGCACUACAGAUGACCUCAGUGUAGCCCCUUCCCAGUGGGCAAAGAGUGCUUCAGAUCCAUUAAAUGCCUGGCCCAAAGGGAUUCAGGUUACCAGAGCAGGGGGAAGAACACAAGCCAAAUCUCUUAUUUUCAGCUUCUGGACCUUCCACAGCAUGGAAGAAACUCCUGAUAUUCAGCUCUUCUAGGAGGGAAAGCGUUGCAAAGCUUUCAGGUUGAAGGAUUGAAACCACCCAAGGCUGGAGCCUUGCUGCUCUUCAACAGGCAAAUGAGAUGUUUCAUGAGGAAUUUCCUUUCUGUGACUAUGAAAUGAGUGCAUCUUCCAGCAGCACCUUCUGCAGCAUCCUCCAUCCACAGGAGGAACAAAGCAGGGAGCCAGAGGACAUGGCCUAGUUCCAGACACUGAGAACAAAUGACAAGGAUGAUCAGAGAUAUGAACCACCUUUCUCAAUAGAUUGGUGGUCCUAAGCCUGUGAGGCUGGGAGGCAGUGGAGUUUUGUUGGAGCCUGAAUGGAGGGAAAAGUGGCAACCAUUUCAGACAGUUCCCCACUCAUUCCUUUGUACUACAGACAGCAGACCAUGAGCCAGCAUGUGGUGGGCUUCUAGCUUAUACAGAAUCAGGCUGUGGGAAAUCCUUGCCACAGGAAGGCUGCUGAAAAUUUCCAUGGGAUCAAGGGAUCAUGAAGCAUGUUCAGAGAAGAUAAAUCCAUCAAUGGUUAUUGCAUACAAAGGCUUUGCCUUGGGUUCAAGCAGUCCCAAGUGGACUGCAAGCUGCUACUCUGGACUGGCUCCAACAGCUUGAUGUCCCCUAUGCUGGGGACCCCAGAGCUGGAUGCACGGUUCCAGGUGGGGUCUCACCAGAGCAGAGCAGAAGGACAGAAUCCCCUCCCUCACCCUGCUGGCCACAGAUCCAGCCCAGGACACAUUUGGCUUUCUGGGCUGAGAGUGCACAUUGCUGGGUCAUGUCCAGCCUCUCAUCCCCAGCACUCCCAAAUCCUCAGCAGGGUGCUCCCAGUCUGUUCAUUCUCCAGCCUGUGUUGAUGCCAGGGGUUGCUCUGGCCCAGGUGCAGCACCUUGUACCUGGUCUUGUUAAACCACAUGGAAUCCCCAUGGUCCUGAUUUUCAAGCUUGUCCAGCUCACUUCCAGCUUCCUCUGGAUGGCAUCCCAUCCUUCAGGUAUGUUAACCAUGUCACUCAGCUUGGUGUCAUCUGCAAACUUGCUGAGGGGGCACUCAAUCCCUUCAUCCAUGUCAUUAGUGAAGGUAUAACACUGGUCCCACUACAGACUCCUGAGUGACACAACUUGUCACUGAUGUCCAUCAGGACUCUGAGCUGUUGAUCACUCCCCUGUGGAAGGGGCCAUCUCACAACUUCCUUAUCCUUCUAACAGUCCAUCCAUUGAAUCCAUCUCUCCCCAAUUCAGAGAGAAGGAUGUUGUGGGGGAUUGUGUCCCAGGCUUUACCAAAGUCAAGGUAAAUGACAUCUGUAUCUCUUCCCUUGUCCACUGAUGUAGUUACCUCAUCUGAGGAGUCCAAGAGGUUGAUCAGGCAGAACUUGCCCUUGGUGAGGCCGUGCUGGCUGUCCUGAAUCACCUUCCUGUCCUCCAUGUGCCUUAGCAGAGCUUCUAGGAGGAUCUGUUCCAUGAUUAUAUUGCUAUUAAGCUUUAGUUAUAUCAGUGUUUAUAGAAUUUCUUGUUUAAGUCUUGGUUUUCUGUAAUGCUCAGUGACUUUCCCGAGGUUACUGAGGUUGACUGACAUCCAUCAACAAAGUUACAGCGCAGUUUAAUACCUCAAAACCUUGUAGGACACACUACCUUCCUGGGCUGGAUGGGAAUGGAUGAGUGAAUAUCCAGAUGUGAGUGAUACCCAGAUGGGAUUCAAAGUCCCGCCCAACCUCCAGAGUGCCUCAGUCCUUAAGGGAUUUCAGUGAUCCCUGAAAGACUUCAAAUGCAAGAGAGACAGCUGAUGAGGGAACCUCUCUGUGGCACCAGCUUCAUUGCCAUGAACACUACCUCUGAAAGAGCUGAUUUAUUUUCUGUGCCGUGUAUGAUGCAUGAAGCAGGGGGCUGAAAAUCUAUUUUAAUGCCAGUGAGUGGUGUCAGGUGAAUACGAGCUGACACAGGAAACCAGAAAAUUAGAGCAGUUUCCCUUGACCCAAUAUUAGCAAAGGGUUUUCUGCAAGCUGUGAUAGAUGUAGAUCCUCAACCAUUGAUUUCUUUUGGUACCUGUCCACGAAUAUUAUGAUAAAGUGUUGGUUUUGUGAGGUUGUUUUUUUGUUUUUUUUUUUUUAAAGAGAGUUGAGUUGCUGCAGCAAUGUGAAAUAAUAGUGAUGUAGUUUUCUAUGAGAUACUUAAGUACCAUGACACACAGAGCAUUAGAAUUCAUCAUGCUUGUUAUUGUCCUUUAACAAAUGACUUUAUGCCAAGCAGUCAAAGCUUGGGACUACAAAUGCAGCUGGUAACUGGGGACUACCAAAUUACACAGGUAACCACACACCAUCUUCUGUGCAAAGGAUCUGAUUUGAUCAUAAAAGAGGUACUGCCAGGGACCACGUAAAUUAAGUUGUUCAUGAAGCAGAUAGGGGAUGUGGACUAAACACUGAAUUCGGGAGAGGAUUGCAAAUACAAAUGUGACAGGAGAUUAAGAGAAAAUACUUGUCAGUGAAAGGUAAUAAAUGUGUGUCCAGAACACACGGAUCUGUGACAGCAGAGAUGGAUUUUUGUUUGAGGAGACUCCCUGAUGUCCUCAUGACACCCCGUCUAAGCUUGACUGAGCUUCAGACUCAUGGAUUCUGUGCAAAUGGGUUCACCUGCACCUGAAGUCCUCUGUUUUCCUCUGACAGCAACACCUUUUCAAAGGACUCAAUUGGCUGACUUCCAAAUAUUUUUUUCCAUUAUUUCAGCCCUGAUCAUCAAUUCUGUUCCCUGGGGUAAAUGUCCCUGGAUGUACCCUUUUCCUCCUCCCAUCCAUUUGAUUUGACUGCCCAGGAAUUUUUUCAAGUUUCAGCUUCAUUUUCCUCUCUCACACCUGGAUGGCUUAAUCAUUGAAACAUCAGCCAUGAAUACAUGGUGUCCAUAGAAUUGUCAAGGACUCCUUACACAGCCUAUAAAAUCCCCAGAGUCAGCAGAGUGAGGGGAAAAACCCCCUAAGGCUCCCCAAGAACUGAAAAUUUUGUGUUUGUGGCAGCCAAGCCCAAAGUAGUUCAUCUGAGAGGCAAGUCUUAUCAGCUGAGGCUUGGGGUUGACACUGGUAAAGGAAUCUCUGGACUGCACUUUACUGCAUAAAUGAGGAGAUUAAGGUGUUCAGACUUUAUGCAUUGAAGUAUACAGGGUAAAAGACUUUGGUUCAUAGCAUGAAGCUGUGUCAGGGGAGGAUUAGGUAGGUUUUAGAAGUAUCUUCCCCCACAGGGCACUGGAACAGGCUCCCCAGGGAAGUGGUGACAGCACCAAAAGCCUCACAGAGUUCAAGAAGCAUUUGGACAAUGCUCUCGGGCACAUGGUGGGAGUCUUGGGGAUGGUGCUGUGCUGUCAGGUGUCAGACUUUAUGAUCUUUGUGGAUCACUUCCAACUCAAGGUGUUCUCAGGAUGGUCUUCCAGCAAUAUAAUUAGAAUUUGGUCAUUCCUGCAAAACUAACUAUGGUGCAGCCAUAUAUGCCUACUUUCAUCAUGGCAAAGUUUAUUUCUUAUAUCCAUGAGGGAGUUAAAGCAACUUAAAACUUCAAGUGGAGAGUAUAUUAUAGCUGGUGGGUGGGAGAUUGCUGAAUAUCCUUAUCCCAGUAAUAGUGGCCUGAGGAAGAAGAAAUUUUAUUGGAGAAAAAAUUCUUAGUCUCUCAGGAGUGAAGUGGGUAGCACCUAAACCUAUUACCUGAACUGCCUUUUUUUUUAACUGUAGAUAAACCAGGAUGUAUUUUAAGUCUUAUCUUACCCCAGUUGUUCUCCUCUUCCCCAGCAAAAGGGACUUUUUCAAUCAGUCCCACUUUGUCAGGCUUCUUUCUUGUGAGAUGCCCCUCCAGUGUUUCACUCAAGAUAUUUUUCCGUUUUUCAGGGCAAAAUCCUUUUCUGACUUCUGUACAGCAGUGAAAACUGCUCUCCGUGCUUGGUUCCUGAUCUAACCUUGCUGCCACUUUCUCAUUUCAUCAUACAACCAGUGGGAAAUAUUUGUCAAGGCAUGUAAUCAUUUGGAUUGCAGGUGGUGAAGUGCACUGUCUUUAAGUCUUCUAAAAUAUGUCCAUAAGCAGCAGAUGCAAUGAGAUGUGGUUUCCUAAGGACACGUCUAGAGAUUGAACUCUGCUGCUUAGUAAAGUCUGUAUUGGCACUGCUGUUGUCCCCACAGUGAGGUGAUCAAUGAUGCUUGUUUUCAUUUCUCAGUGACUUUUAUCUGUUAAUUAUACAGGAACUUCAGAUUUUCCAAAUCUUUCCCACUCUUACAACUGGACAUCAGCCUCAAGUGUGAUUGUUGAAGUGACUGGUUGUGGCAGAAACACAGACAUACUAUCAGAAAGCUUAGUAGUGAACCUUAGGAAAUGAAUUCACACAGUCCUGUAGAGAUGUGAAUUUUCUGGGACUUUGGAGCUGUCAUGGCUGAGAGAGCUGAAAGCAUCAGCUGAGUAUAUCAGAACACACAACUGCUCGACAUCUGUUCAUCAAGGGCACUGAUGCUUCAGUCCCUUGAUGCUGAGGCCUGCCUGUUUUGGGAUGUCAGGGACCUGUGUUCCCCCAGGCACACACCUGGUGACAGCAGCAGCCACUGCAAUUGCUGAGAGCCUAAUGCAGAUGCUAGAAAGAUGGAAUGGUCCCAGCAUCACCAUGACACAACUUUCCCUGCAGCAGCAAGUGGCUGAGAAGGAUUUUGAAUGCCUCUGAAUGUGAGAGAUACAUAACUGCAUAUCCAACCAACACUUGCCCCUGAAGAGGAAGAGAUAAAAGGUUCUUACUUUAGCCACCCCAUUGCUGGAUUUUUACACUGAGCCCUCCUGCCCAACAGUAUUCAAAAAAGAUGUGUAUGGUCUAAAAGACUGGAGCUACCCAUAACACAAAGUGUCACCAAUACCACAGAUGACUGAACUGGCUUAGAACCAGAAUAAAUCUUACCUCAUUCUUUUUCCAUGUGGAUGAAGACAGCUAUCUAGAAGCAAAAGCAAAUACAGCUUGGGAGCUAGAAGCACAAAACACAAAUACCAGAGGUACGUCACCAGUUGCGCCACAAGCUUCCUUCAUGAAGUUUGGUUAUCCUGCUAUUACAUAAUCUGCCCUGUGGUUUUGUGUUACAGCAAAACCAACCAUGGACUAGAAAAUAAAAUCAAAAGUGUGUGAAGAAAGGAAGUGUUGUGGGAUGAAAGAGAUCCAUAACACCUGACUAAGCAUCAAAUGUCAUCUCAGUUGUCAAUGCAAGGAGGAAGAUCUCUGGAGCUUCUUUUCCAAGCAGUUCAAAUUCCUUUCUCACUGCUGUCUCUGCAAGGUGCACAGGACAGAUGUGUCACUGCUUGGGACAACACGGCUCAUGGGACAACAGUGCUCAGAGCACUGAGCCCUGUCAUGGAGUGGCCAGGACACUUCCAGGCCAAAAUCUUCUCCCCAGGCAACCCCAGUAACUCAGAGACAUAAAGAUCACUGUUAUGUGUGAGGGUGGGGGCUAAUUCAAAGUGCUUUAAGUGCCAGAGGUGGUUGCUUCACAUACACCUCCGUGGUGCCUGUGUGAUGGGCAGGAGAUUGGUCCCCGAGGACAAGGCAGAAGGCUUCAGGGCCUGCUAAGGACACUGCUUGGCUUGUCCUGGGAGAGAAGAGCUGAAUAUGAUGACAUCUGUGGCCACAAAGUCUGUCUGUGCUGUUCCCCCAUCACUCAUGCUCAGAUUUCCUCUGGGAGGGAGAUGAUUGAUUUACUCCAGCAGGAAUGAACUACCACACAGGCACUGCAGAAAGCAAGGGAAACAAGCUGAGGAGAGAGUAAAGAUAAUCCCAGCUCAAAUCUUUACUUUAAUUGUAUCCUGGGCGGCAAUACCCACAAUAAAACAGAGCAUUGGUCUCUGACUCUGCACUUACUGACUCUGGACACACAGACAGCUCUUAAAAAUAUAAAUUGUCUCCUCUGAUUGCUGCCCCAAGUGAUGGGUCCCAGCAGAAGGAGAGAGCCAAGCCUAAGGGCCCUGUCCAGUCAUGCCAAUACCAGUGUUUAUUUCCCUCAACUCACCACAGGUGGGAACAGGCUUGUCUAUUGAUUCUUUAAGCCUUGCACCUUUUCCUACUCUGAAAGGCUAUGGAUCAUUGCAGGAAUCUGCUGCGUUCUGCCUCUGGACUGUGGGGGGUGGGGUAAUAUGGGGCAUGGGGCUGGCAUUUGCACACCC
This is a long non-coding RNA of Passer domesticus (house sparrow), 17800 nucleotides long. RefSeq lists it as uncharacterized. The record is from RefSeq and is a predicted model, not a curated record. The transcript is spliced from 11 exons. Lineage: Eukaryota; Metazoa; Chordata; Aves; Passeriformes; Passeridae.